Pteropus alecto (black flying fox) is the source of this 73-nucleotide non-coding RNA. The record is from Rfam. NCBI's taxonomy places the organism in Eukaryota, Metazoa, Chordata, Mammalia, Chiroptera, Pteropodidae.
GGUUCCAUAGUGUAGCGGUUAGCACGUCUGCUUUACACGCAGAAGGUCCUGGGUUCACAUCCCAGUGCAGCUA